CAGCAGCCGCGGGAAAACAGAGGGUGCGAGCGUUAAUCGGAUUUACUGGGCGUAAAGCGUGCGUAGGCGGCUUCUUAAGUCGGAUGUGAAAUCCCUGAGCUUAACUUAGGAAUUGCAUUCGAUACUGGGAAGCUAGAGUAUGGGAGAGGAUGGUAGAAUUCCAGGUGUAGCGGUGAAAUGCGUAGAGAUCUGGAGGAAUACCGAUGGCGAAGGCAGCCAUCUGGCCUAAUACUGACGCUGAGGUACGAAAGCAUGGGGAGCAAACAGGAUUAGAUACCCGCGUAGUCCAUGUCUCUUAUAA
RNAcentral lists this ribosomal RNA (301 nucleotides) under uncultured bacterium. Its description in RNAcentral is "partial 16S ribosomal RNA". It matches the Rfam family "Bacterial small subunit ribosomal RNA", at positions 509 to 809 of the family's 1533-position model. The record is from RNAcentral.